AAACGAACCAGGUCAAUGCUUCAGCAAAUGACAUUUGAACGAUCCAUCAUCUCUUUCACACAUUUCUUCACUUCUGCAAUCUCAAUUCGAAAGCUCCAUGAUCCGCGGACGAAGAAACAACACGAGCAUGGAUGAACAUUCGAAUCAAUUGUGCUUCAACAAUCCCUUUCACAUUCUAGAAAUCAAGAGAAAGCUUCAAAUCCUCACUAAAUUGUUUGUGCACGUGAGGUAUGAGAAGAACGUGGAAUCACAACGGAUUGUGGAUUGAAGCAAUAAUGUAGAAGAAAACUCACCGGAUUUGAAUCUGCCGCGGUGGAAAAAUAGGAAAAUGAAAAAAUGAGUAAUGAGUGAGCCUCCUCAGAAUUUGCAGUGAAGUAUUGUUUAUAUACAAUCUCGAUUUAACUGAGUCAAACUCUGUUAAAUCUGAGAAGCUUUAGGGUGAAUGUUAUGAUGGAGCUUUCACUUGUGUAUUCAGAAUGAAAGAACUUUGCUUUGGUGUUCUGUAGGUCGAUGCAUUAUGAACUUGACAGGUGUGUUUUGUUUAAAACAGGUGCAUGGUGGAAUUUGCUUUGAAUUUUUCACUUGGUAUAUUGUGUUAAAUGGAUUGCAGGUGGAAUGUUUGUGCUCAGUGUGCUGGGCUAUUCGAAUGAAAGAGCUUGGUUUGUUUUGUUUAAAACAAGUGCAGGGUUAAGUGUUAGUUGAAAUGGGAGGGCUAAGUCUGAUUUGGUGUGUUGCAUUGGUUGAGUUUUGCAGGGUGAUGUGUUUUACUGAGUUAUGCAGGUGGAAAAUUUUGUUGAUUUUCUAUCAUGAGAUGUUGCUUGGAAGAUGUCAACAGGGCUUUGUUGAAGUGAGACAUAUUAGCUGGAGUGUGUUGAGUUCAUGGACUGUGUAGACUUGUGAUUGAUUUUAGAUUAGUUGUAGAACUUGUUUAUUAGGUUUAUAAGAUUUUAAAUGGGGUCAUGUAAUGAAUUGAAUAUUUAUUGAAUUGAAUUCGUACGGAAAGUGUAUUGGAUUGUAUUGAAUGAAAGUUUGAAUGUGGAUGGAUGUUGUUAAUUGUU
Long non-coding RNA from Lathyrus oleraceus (garden pea), 1058 nucleotides. RefSeq lists it as uncharacterized. Lineage: Eukaryota; Viridiplantae; Streptophyta; Magnoliopsida; Fabales; Fabaceae. The transcript is spliced from 3 exons. The record is from RefSeq and is a predicted model, not a curated record.